Cyprinus carpio (common carp) is the source of this 1364-nucleotide long non-coding RNA. NCBI's taxonomy places the organism in Eukaryota, Metazoa, Chordata, Actinopteri, Cypriniformes, Cyprinidae. The record is from Ensembl.
UUGUCAUGGGUUGGUUUCUGUCGGUUUACUUUAAUGCAAUCUCUCUCUCCCACACACUCUCUCUGAUGUCUGUCAGGGGUCAGUAUGUGUCUCCUCUGAGCUCUGGCCCCUCACUGCCCUCCCAUGCAGUGCUGUGGGAACUUGACCAGUCAUCUGCGCAGUUAUGAGAGGCAUGUGGUGGAGAGGAAGCAGUGGUUUGUGAGUCAGCGCCUCAUGAAUCGUUCCGUUCCGUUGGCCUUUGGCUCUCUUUAGCUCUUUGAGUCAUCUAGAUCCCUGUGGUCCUGUGAGAUGGGUGUGUGUGUGGGGGGGAGGAAAACUUGCGUUCCUCUGUUUCUGGUCCAUUCCGUUGUAUUGUUCAGUGCUGUGAGUGCUGUCAAGAGAAGCAGUGAAUGGUCACGGCGAGGAGAGACUGUCGUCCGGCAGAAUGGCGUCAGACGUGGGCCGCAGCACUUGAGUUAUGACACAAAUGCAGCGAGAGAGGAGUCUUCUGUCUGGGCCCUGCGUGUGCUGCGGGCGAAAGGCUCCUCGGUGUUACGCAGAUGGGACACGCCCUGACAUGUCGCUCCGCCGCUCUUCUCCUCGCUCGCCGAUCUUUGUCCAGCUCUGUGUAAACAAAAGUCGUGGAAUCAGGUGCUGAUUUGCUGAGAUGAAACAGACAGGAGUAAAACAUGCUGCAGAAGCACAAUCAGUCAUAUCCAGUGCAUUUAAUCUAAACCGAAACAUCACUCUGCUGAUCACUAUAGAGAUAUCUUUAACAUUUGUGACCCUGGACUUAAGGGUCAAUUUUUCAAAAUUGAGAUUAAUACAUCAUCUGAAAGUUGAUUAAAAAAGCUUUCCUUUGAUGUAUGGUUUCCAUUGAUGUAUAGGACAAUAUUUAGCUGAGAUACAACUAAUGUAUUUGAAAAUCUGGAAUCUGAGGUUGCAAAAAAAUUGCCUUUAAAGUUGUCGAAAUGAAGUUCUUAGGAAUGCAUAUUACUAAUCAAAAAUUAAGUUUUGAUAUAUUUACAGCAGGAAAUUUGCAAAAUAUCUUCAUGGAACAUGAUCUUUACUCAACAUCCUAAUGAUUUUUGGCAUAAAAGAAAAAUCGAUAAUUUUGACCCAUACAAUGUAUUGUUGGUUAUUGCUACAAAUAUACCCCUGCUACUUAUGACUGCUUUUGUGGUUCAGGGUCACAUUUCUUCUAAGCAUUAAAUAGAGAGCAAAUUGACACUUUUGCCCAUUUUUUCCUCAGGGAAGGUCUCAAACUGUACUCAGAUUUGCCAAGACAUCAGUCUCAAUGACAAGGAUUAGAACUGUAUCUCAAUUGUGUCUCCUCUAGUUUCAGAGGGAUCUCAAAUAAAAGCUGAUGUUUCAGUGAAUAGACA